AUUUAUCUUAAUGGAAAAAUUCUGCACGUAUUUUUUUCAAACAAAAGAUAUGUUUAUCCUUCACCUCUAUACUUUCUUAGGCCAUCUUUGUCAAAACACAUCUCUGGCCUGUGAGUUGGCAACAUGAUUGAAUUAGUUUGCAACUCAAGAUGGCAGGAGAUUAAACAGAAUACUUUGAAAAAUAGAAGUAUCUCCUAGAAAGAACCUCAGUGAAGGGAUUGUCUAAGAAACAGAGGGAGAGUUGGAGGCAGAAUGUAUGUUGCACUCAGAUUAUGUUGUGAAACUAGUUACUGCAUUGAAGACUUGAUGACCUAAAAGGGCAUUGUGUGUGAUGUUGACCAAUUAUUCAGUCAUGUCACAUUCCCACUUCCUGAGUGAAUCACCAGCUGCAAAAAUUAAGAUGAAAAACUUUCCACAAAAGAAAUCAUUAUGAAGUAUUUAAGCAUCUUUGGAUAAAAGACAGUUUAAAAAACAAAUCACUGUGAUUUAUG
RNAcentral lists this long non-coding RNA (491 nucleotides) under Homo sapiens (human). Its description in RNAcentral is "HSALNT0079921". The record is from RNAcentral. Lineage: Eukaryota; Metazoa; Chordata; Mammalia; Primates; Hominidae.